RNAcentral lists this ribosomal RNA (488 nucleotides) under uncultured bacterium. RNAcentral's name for it is "bacterial SSU rRNA". It matches the Rfam family "Bacterial small subunit ribosomal RNA", at positions 29 to 526 of the family's 1533-position model. The record is from RNAcentral.
AAUGAACGUUGGCGGCGUGGAUUAGGCAUGCAAGUCGAGCGAGAACCUUCUUUCGGGAAGGGGAAAGCGGCGUAAGGGACAGUAAUACGUAGACAACCUGCCCUCGGACUCAGGAUAGCUGCGGGAAACUGCAGGUAAUACUGAAUAAUGUCUUUGGACCAAAGGUGUGAUUCCGUCCGGGGAUGGGUCUGCGUCCUAUUAGCUAGUUGGUGGGGUAACGGCCUACCAAGGCAAUGAUGGGUAGCGGGUGUGAGAGCACGACCCGCGUCACUGGGACUGAGACACUGCCCAGACACCUACGGGUGGCUGCAGUCGAGGAUCUUCGGCAAUGGGCGCAAGCCUGACCGAGCGACGCCGCGUGUGGGAUGAAGGCCUUCGGGUUGUAAACCACUGUCAGAGGGGAUGAAAUGCGCGUGGGUUCUCCCACGUGUUUGACAUAUCCUCAGAGGAAGUACGGGCUAAGUUCGUGCCAGCAGCCGCGGUAAAAC